GCAGGGAGGAUCUGCUGAUCUGGUGAGUCCCCAGUUGCUGUUCAGCACAUGAAUGGGCUCCACCGUGGCAGCAGUUCCAGCUCUAAACCAAAGUCCAAGCUGCUUCCAAAGGACAGAGCUCUGGUAAGCAAAGCUACAUCCACACUUUGAUAAUCUCCCAAACCUUUUGGUCUUUGCCCUCUUGAGCACCAUCACUUCAUACAUCUGGUUUGCUGCAACCUAAAUGCUGCUCUACCUCCCACUUGAUCCAGAUCAGCAGAGCCUCUGCUUGUCUCUGUUUUAAACCCCAGACUUUCAUCUCUAGUGAAUUUUAAUUUCCAGUGUAGUUUCAUUUUCUCUUGGACUCCAGUUUUCAGCCCCAGAAGACAAACAGUCGUCUAGUCUGGCUCCCACAGAUGUGAAAUGUAUCAGUGAAGUUCUCUGCUGACUUUUCUGUACGUGGGAAAAUAAUGUUCUUUCUGGGUCCUUCUAAAUCCUUUUGUUCCUUCCCCCACCCUUUCCUGUAUUAUCAUGGCUUGGCCACUUGUCCUUCAGGAGUUACUCUCGUUUCCUGGUGUCUUCACAAUAUAAGAAGUUUCAUGCCAAACACAGCAUAGACAAAAUUCCUGACAAUCAGCACCUGAGGCUACCUGUGGAACAGCAAAUUACUUUUCCAUAACCAUCUUCACAAAGGCAAUUCAAGCGUCCCACUUGAAGCCUUCCUGUCUUUGACUGCAUUUUAAAUGCACUGUAUUUAUUCAGUGCAUCAAUAGUGGUCCUGUCAUUGUCACACCCUGUCCCAGAACAGAACGUGUCACCUGAGUGCAAAGAGGAGACUCUGCCGCGGGACAGACUGAACUCAGUCACUGUCACAGGUACAGACUGCAGCAUUUCCCUUUUCCUCAUUGCCACAACACUGAGUCACUCAGUAAGACUGUGAUACUUGUCUAAUCAGGUUUUAUCCAUGCUGAGGUUAGUGCAGGAGAGGACUUAGAGAGAACUAACCGUCUUCUCAGCAGAUUUUUGUCUUUCUCUUAGUUCUAAUAUAUUUCAUAGUAAAUAAGUUCCUCCCACAUUGGAAUUAUUGGCUGUAAAUGCUUGUCUCUAUCUCCAUGAUAAACUGAGGCACAACCUGGUGAAAACUGCCCCAAGUACUGCAAAUCCCUGCCCCCUUCCCCAAAAAUGCAAACCCAACCCUAAACCCAACCCUAAAUAUUGUGAAGAAAACAGGAGGGGGGAAAAAAAAAAGUCACAUUCCUGUUCUGAAAGAGUGUUUGUAGAUUCCCCUUCAGCAAGGACGAAAGAUAUAAAAACUCAAAGCAAUUCAAAUAUAGGUCUCUUUCAACUUUAAUAUUUUGUUUAUGUUUGCUCCUCAAAAGUCUUUCAGUUACAUAAAAAUACAGUUAAAGUAUUAAUCAUUCCUUUAAACAUUAAAUAGGUGGAUUUGCUUUCCCAUGUGUGUUUUUAAAGCUUGUAUUAUUGAUCGAUAAAUAUGAAAAUAGUUCCCUCCCUCCCGUUUUUUUCUCCUUUGGUGAGCUGUGGUUACUCUCACUGCCAGGAUUUUCCUGAAAAUGGCCAUAUAACUGUAGUAUAAAGUCAUCCCUGCAAACACUGACUUAAAGAAAAAAAAAUACAAGCCUGCUAAUGUGAAAUCCUGUUUUGGUGUGGCCAAAAUCUAAAAUUCUAAAAGAAGCUGUAACGUGUUAUAACAUGAGGAAACCCCUUUCACCAAGAUCUUUUCUGUAAGUAACUGGGUGAGAUCUGAAGGUGUCAGUUCAAAUCACAAUCUUCUUGGAAAAACUGUGAGUCUUUACCACAUGUGAAUAUUGCAGGUAUGUUAUUAUUAAAAAUUAUAUAUAUAUUUAUAUAAAAGAAAUAUAUAUAUGUAAGAAAGAGCCAUUUCUUGAGCUGUCCCAUUUUAUUAGGCAGAUAAAAACUAUAAAGGAUCAUCAGAGUCCCGUGCUUCAAAUGCAGCCCUCCAAAGAGAGGGAAUUUCCACGGAUGCGCCCCUGGUCCGUGGGGAUGAGCUUCCCUGUUUCUCUGUGGCACAUCAUAUUGGCCCUGGCAUCCCAGAGAAGGGAUGAAUAAAUAAGAGAGAAACCUGAAAGCCAGAAUCAGGAGAUCAGGUGAAAGGAAUCCAGUAUCCUGAGCUAAAAUGGAUUCAGAUCUAUAGAAGGAAGAAGGGGAGGUUUGUGUUAAUGAGGUUUGUCACAUACCCUUCCCUAGAGGGGGUGACCCAGAUGUUGCUCCACUGUGUGUGAGCGUUUUUUUUCUUUGCUCUGUGUUGUACCUUCAGGUAGGACAGUUUGGGAUUAUAGGAAUGACUGCCAGUUUUGCAGUGUUGAGUGUAAACAUACUCCAAACAAACCCCUUCACAGGCACUUAAGAACAGAUUCCUCUUGAAGAUCCUCUGUACAGCUUGUCAAGUGUCCUUCCAGUGGUGUGUUAAAACUACAGGUUUGCAGAUAAUCCAUCCUAAUCCAUCCUAAUGUUUCCUCUGAGUGUUUUGCUUUGGUCUAUUUAAAAAGUGAAUCUUUGCAGCUUUAUCUUACAGUUCCUUUGAAUUCUGGUGGUUUAGUGCCACGGGUUUUUCCGUAAGAGCAGCACAGUCCUUGGUUAAUGCCUGGAGGAGGACAAGGUUACACUCUGUACUGAGAUAUGAUUCACGAGUCGGUAAUUAGAGAGGCUGCUUGAUACAAAGAGCCAACAACAGCAAGAAUAACAAACAAAAAAAAAAAAAGACAAAAAAAAAAGACAAAAAAAAGAGGGGAAAAAAACCAGCAGAACAUUGAAUGAGGUGAGAAAUGUUCACUGGGAAGGAGAGCUCAGGAAGUACGUAAGUGUGAGGAGCAGCAGCAGGAGCUUUGCCGGGGGCAGGACGGUGCUGGCGCUGGACCAGGACACCUUGCGCCCGUUCAGGGGCUGGAUGGGCCGGAAAUUUUCAAUCAUGGGAGUUGAGUUCUUCCCAUCAAAGUGCAGAGCUGCAAACUGAGAGAGCUGCAGGUGGAGAAGGAGAGAAUAGGUCGUUAAACCUUCUUUUUUUUCCCCGCAGGGCUCUGGGAAUUGCGGUGUCGCGAACGCGCGGGUUUGAGCGGUGUGGGUGCGUUAAAGCUUGCAGGAAACACCGUGACAGGGGCCACGGCCAGAGGUCACCCACAGAUGACUCCUGCCAGCCUUGGAAAUCAGGGGCACUUCCUCUCUGUGUGAGCCAAAUGCUUUGUUCACCUCAAGAACCUGGUCACCCCCGUCCUCCUGACGCACGCGGCCCUGUCCUUGUCCCCCACGUCACAGUGACACAAGGCCUGUGUGUGCACCAGAGAGUGGCCUGACCUCCAGCUGAGCUCAUCCCCACUGGGACACGGCAGAACAGGGAGUUCCAGGCACAGAAUGUCACCAAGUGCCUUAAUCGAUAUUCUGAUCAAUAAAUGCCCAAAGAAUGCCAGGUAAGGAGACCUUCACAUGCUUGGUUCUGUUCCAUGAGUCAAUGUUUGUGUGGCUAAAUGACUCCAGGCAUAUUUUUGGCAACUCAGUGGUCAACCCGUGCUUUAACAGUUUCCCACCAGCACAUCGGGAUUGGGAUUUUCUUGGCAAUUUAUACAUGAGUGAACCUUUAGGAGAAAGAAAGCAGGGAAUAACCUGGGCAUGAGAGGACAGCCACCUGCAAAGAUUUGCUCUCAAAGCCUUUGGGAGGUGAGUUAAAGCAGAGAGGAGAGUUGCCAGGUGAGAACUCAAGGUCAGGUGAGGAACCCCAGGCUAUUUACCCCAAACUGCUGGGUUUGCACAGGGCCUUGCACAA
Chiroxiphia lanceolata (lance-tailed manakin) is the source of this 3775-nucleotide long non-coding RNA. RefSeq lists it as uncharacterized. Lineage: Eukaryota; Metazoa; Chordata; Aves; Passeriformes; Pipridae. The transcript has 3 exons. The record is from RefSeq and is a predicted model, not a curated record.